ACUCCUGCGGGAGGCAGCAGUGGGGAAUAUUGCACAAUGGGCGCAAGCCUGAUGCAGCGACGCCGCGUGGGGGAUGAAGGCCUUCGGGUUGUAAACUCCUUUCGCUAGGGACGAAGCUUUUUUGUGACGGUACCUAGAUAAGAAGCACCGGCUAACUACGUGCCAGCAGCCGCGGUAAUACGUAGGGUGCGAGCGUUGUCCGGAAUUACUGGGCGUAAAGGGCUCGUAGGUGGUUUGUCGCGUCGUCUGUGAAAUUCUGGGGCUUAACUCCGGGCGUGCAGGCGAUACGGGCAUAACUUGAGUGCUGUAGGGGUAACUGGAAUUCCUGGUGUAGCGGUGAAAUGCGCAGAUAUCAGGAGGAACACCGAUGGCGAAGGCAGGUUACUGGGCAGUUACUGACGCUGAGGAGCGAAAGCAUGGGUAGCGAACAGGAUUAGAAACCCGUGUAGUCC
Molecule: ribosomal RNA, 452 nt
Filed under: uncultured organism
Description: partial 16S ribosomal RNA
Rfam family: Bacterial small subunit ribosomal RNA
Source: RNAcentral